UAUACAUAAUAUUCUGUAAAUGUUGAUAUAUGUAUACCAAAAAUUAGAGAAGAUGCAACGAUAUAAGUUAUUUAUUAGUAAUUCAUGAGUUUCGUUGAGUAACAUAUUGUGUUGGAACGCCCGAUGACUGGUAACUCGAACAGCUUGCGGGAACGGGAAUCAGGACUUUUUCAAAAACAACGAGGACAAGAAGUUCCUAUAAAAGUCAUAAAAAAUUACAACUUUUCAUUCAUUCAUUCAACUUCAACCUACUCCCAAGAUAAAGACGUAGUACAACGACGGCAAAACAUGGCCAAGCUCUUUGUUUUCGUUUUGGCUUGUGUGUUAAACCUCAGCGUGAACUACGCAUUGGAACUUCCAAAGAAAGCACUCGAAGACUUUUCUGAUGUCAAGAUAAAUAAUCCACCAAAUUAAUAAUAAAAACACCAGAAGAGCUGAGAAAAAUGCCGUCUGUUCAACAACUUCGUGCUGCUGCAUCCCAAGCUGGGUCGUCAAUGCCAAGACACUGCUCUAAGCCUGGUAAUCACGCUUGUCAGAACAAGGGUGCAUGGUUCGAAUGCGACAAGUCCUAUUGCCCUUCCAUACCUGACACCGCAAAAUUCAUGUGGUGCCAUCAUAUUUAUGGAUGUAACAUCUAUGAACUUGAAGUUUAUCAAGGUUGUUUCAACCAGUAUGUAGAUUCGUACAGAUGAACAUAUGAAGACAGAAAAUGCAACAAUGGAUAUUACUGCAACAAACAAAAUAUAUCAGGAAACACAGCUUUGGGUUGUCGUACAAAACUAUCCGACUAAACUUGCAAAAUUGGACGUCGUAGUGAAAGUCGAUCAAUACACGUGCACGCAGCUCGCAAAGAAUUACAAGUAACAGACGAAAGCUACAACGAAAUCCUAAAGAUGAUGUUGUAAUUUCCUAUUGUUGAAAAGAUAUAUCAAAUUAU
Long non-coding RNA from Styela clava, 937 nucleotides. RefSeq lists it as uncharacterized. Lineage: Eukaryota; Metazoa; Chordata; Ascidiacea; Stolidobranchia; Styelidae. The record is from RefSeq and is a predicted model, not a curated record.